UUGGGCCGAAUUAGCCCUGAAGCAAAAAACCUCCUCCUCCACAAUCUGUGUUGAAUGCCUGGAGACUGGCCUGGUUGUUUUCAAGAUCACCCUGGCCAAAGUAAUCACCAAAUGGACAGCAUCUCUGUGUAUUUAGGCAGACUAACCUUUGAAAAAUCUACCCAGUCUAUUAUCAGUUUGUCAUUCAACAACUUUGUAACCAGAGAUAAUGUUCUGGUCCAGCCUUCAAGAAUUCAAAAUUAUUUUCAUGCAUCCAUGAGCCAUUAGAACAAGACUUUGUGGAGGUAUUGGAGUGAACAGUAUCAUUUGGAAAAGGAAGAAACUAAGGCUCAAGAAAGGGAAGGAACUCAUUCAAGCUAAGGAACAACAGAGUCACUGUCUUCCCAGCCUAGGUCUGAAUCCUAAAAAGGAAUUUCAUCCCAAACAGGAGCCAGGUUUCCUUUGGUUUGGUAAUUCUUUCUUCCUCCACAAGAUAGCAUGGAGAAGCCAAGGCAGCAUGGCUUAAAUAGCCCUUUCCCAGUGACUACAAAUGACUACCAGUGAGAAGAAUAGAUAAAGAAGAGUAGUUGGGGCCUCAGAAAUAGCUGUCUGGAAUUUGUUUUAUGAAAUUGUCCCAGCCCAGUUACCUUUCAACCCUCUCCUCAGUCACAUGCUAGGCUGGUAUUAACAACAAGAGUUUAUAUUUAGGAAGUCUAACUUGAAGAGAACAAACCUGCCAUCAUCCCUAAUUGGUGGUUGGCUCCCCCUCCCUUACUGAUGGGGAAAGCUCGAGUUGCUGUAUCCUGGUCACUGUAGCUACUAAACUGCUAUGGGAGCUAUGAUUUAUAUACAACCCAUGCAAACUUGCAACAGGCUUAUAAAAAAAAAAUGAAUGCUUACAGUCUAAUUAGUGCUGAUGGCUGAUAUGCAGGGAUACAAGAGAAGUGCCCCAGAUCUCUAUAAAAUUCUCAGUGAUAAUAAGCCAGAGAUCCCAGGAGAAGGAAUGGGUUUGAUGGUUAUUAGAAACAUGUUGGUGAGAUCCAGUGGCUAGAAUGACCUAGGAAAAGAAAAGAAGAGAAAUAGG
This 1063-nucleotide long non-coding RNA is filed under the name Monodelphis domestica (gray short-tailed opossum). Its description in RNAcentral is "lncRNA (ENSMODG00000050874.1)". Lineage: Eukaryota; Metazoa; Chordata; Mammalia; Didelphimorphia; Didelphidae. The record is from RNAcentral.